GAAAGGCUUCGGCCGGACAGGGAUGGGCAUGCGGCGCAUUAGGCAGUAGGCGGGGUAACGGCCCACCUAACCGACGAUGCGUAGGGGUUCUGAGAGGAAGGUCCCCCACACUGGUACUGAGACACGGACCAGACUCCUACGGGAGGCAGCAGUGAGGAAUAUUGGUCAAUGGUCGGGAGACUGAACCAGCCAAGCCGCGUGAGGGAGGAAGGUACAGAGUAUCGUAAACCUCUUUUGUCAGGGAACAAAGACUGGGACGCGUCCCCGGAUGAGUGUACCUGAAGAAAAAGCAUCGGCUAACUCCGUGCCAGCAGCCGCGGUAAUACGGAGGAUGCGAGCGUUAUCCGGAUUUAUUGGGUUUAAAGGGUGCGCAGGCGGUCUGUUAAGUCAGCGGUCAAAGCCCGGGGCUCAACCCCGGCCCGCCGUUGAAACUGGCAGUCUCGAGUUGGAGAGAAGUAUGCGGAAUGCGCGGUGUAGCGGUGAAAUGCAUAGAUAUCGCGCAGAACUCCGAUUGCGAAGGCAGCAUGCCGGCUCCACACUGACGCUGAGGCACGAAAGCGUGGGUAUCGAACAGGAUUAGACACCCUGGUAGUCCACGCAGUAAACGAUGAAUGCUGGCUGUCCGGGGGGGACUGACCCCUGG
RNAcentral lists this ribosomal RNA (643 nucleotides) under uncultured bacterium. RNAcentral describes it as "bacterial SSU rRNA". It matches the Rfam family "Bacterial small subunit ribosomal RNA", at positions 202 to 842 of the family's 1533-position model. The record is from RNAcentral.